Molecule: long non-coding RNA, 369 nt
Filed under: Struthio camelus australis
Lineage: Eukaryota; Metazoa; Chordata; Aves; Struthioniformes; Struthionidae
Description: lncRNA (ENSSCUG00000017021.1)
Source: RNAcentral
AUGGCACUUGAGUCCUGUGUAGGAUUCAUUAUCAGCCCUGUUAUGAAAAAUAACCUUCAGCUGUUGUGCACUGGACUUGGGAAGGGAAGAGUCAAGAGUCAGGAUGGUCGUGAGGAGUCUGGUGAGCCAUACCACGUGAUGGAUCUGCAGCACUUUACAGGACCUGCUCUGAGUGAACUCAGGAUCGGUGUUUUGAUAGAUGUCGUCUCUCAAGAGCGUGCUUCAAUUGCUGAGCAGGUCUGUAAAAGGGGAUUGGAAAUGCUGAAGCAGUGCCUAAAGCUCCUAAGCAGGGAUGAGCUGUGCAUUUGCUAUUGGCUAAAUCAAGGGACUUCCUGCUUGGCAUGUGGGGUCUUUGGAUUACUCUUCUGA